Molecule: ribosomal RNA, 812 nt
Filed under: uncultured bacterium
Lineage: Bacteria
Description: bacterial SSU rRNA
Rfam family: Bacterial small subunit ribosomal RNA
Source: RNAcentral
GAGGGGUAAAUCCGUAGAGAUCAGAAGGAAUACCGAUGCGAAGGCGAUCUACUGAACAUACUGACGCUGAGAUGCGAAGCGUGGGGAGCAAACAGGAUUAGAUACCCUGGUAGUCACGCCUAAACGAUGCACACUAGUUGUUGCUAUGCUAGACAUAGCAGUAAUGCAGUUAACACAGUAAGUGUGCCGCCUGGGAGUACGGUCGCAAGAUUAAAACUCAAAGGAAUAGACGGGGACCCGCACAAGCGGUGGAGCAUGUGGUUUAAUUCGACGAUACGCGAAGAACCUUACCUGGCCUUGACAUAGUAAGAAUCUAAUAGAGAUAUAAGAGUGCUAGUUUACUAGAGCUUAUAUACAGGUGCUGCACGGCUGUCGUCAGCUCGUGUCGUGAGAUGUUGGGUUAAGUCCCGCAACGAGCGCAACCCUCGUGUUUAGUUACUAACAGUUCGGCUGAGGACUCUAGACAGACUGCCUGGGUAACCAGGAGGGAGGUGAGGACGACGUCAAGUCAUCAUGGCCCUUACGGCCAGGGCUACACACGUGCUACAAUGGGGUAUACAAAGAGCCGCGAUACCGUGAGGUGGAGCAAAUCUCAUAAAAUAUCUCCCAGUUCGGAUUGAAGUCUGCAACUCGACUUCAUGAAGUUGGAAUCGCUAGUAAUCGUAGAUCAGCAAUGCUACGGUGAAUACGUUCCCGGGUCUUGUACUCACCGCCCGUCACACCAUGGGAGUUGAUUUCAUUCGAGGCGGGGAUGCUAAAAUAGCUCCUUCCACAGUGGAAUUAGCGACUAGGGGAAGUCGUAACAAGGUACC